RNAcentral lists this small RNA (28 nucleotides) under Bombyx mori (domestic silkworm). Its description in RNAcentral is "ovarian small RNA-28869". Lineage: Eukaryota; Metazoa; Arthropoda; Insecta; Lepidoptera; Bombycidae. The record is from RNAcentral.
UCGCUUAAAAAUGAAGCCUGCGAACCUU